GAUGAACGCUGGCGGCGUGCCUAAUACAUGCAAGUCGAGCGAACAGAUAAGGAGCUUGCUCCUUUGACGUUAGCGGCGGACGGGUGAGUAACACGUGGAUAACCUACCUAUAAGACUGGGAUAACUUCGGGAAACCGGAGCUAAUACCGGAUAACAUAUUGAACCGCAUGGUUCAAUAGUGAAAGGCGGCUUUGCUGUCACUUAUAGAUGGAUCCGCGCCGUAUUAGCUAGUUGGUAAGGUAACGGCUUACCAAGGCAACGAUACGUAGCCGACCUGAGAGGGUGAUCGGCCACACUGGAACUGAGACACGGUCAAGACUCCUACGGGAGGCAGCAGUAGGGAAUCUUCCGCAAUGGGCGAAAGCCUGACGGAGCAACGCCGCGUGAGUGAUGAAGGUCUUCGGAUCGUAAAACUCUGUUAUCAGGGAAGAACAAAUGUGUAAGUAACUGUGCACAUCUUGACGGUACCUGAUCAGAAAGCCACGGCUAACUACGUG
RNAcentral lists this ribosomal RNA (497 nucleotides) under uncultured bacterium. RNAcentral describes it as "partial 16S ribosomal RNA". It matches the Rfam family "Bacterial small subunit ribosomal RNA", at positions 28 to 507 of the family's 1533-position model. The record is from RNAcentral.